RNAcentral lists this ribosomal RNA (253 nucleotides) under uncultured bacterium. Its description in RNAcentral is "partial 16S ribosomal RNA". It matches the Rfam family "Bacterial small subunit ribosomal RNA", at positions 524 to 776 of the family's 1533-position model. The record is from RNAcentral.
UACGAAGGGGGCAAGCGUUGUCCGGAAUCAUUGGGCGUAAAGAGCGCGUAGGCGGCCCUGUAAGUCCGCUGUGAAAGUCAAAGGCUCAACCUUUGAAAGCCGGUGGAUACUGUCUAGCUAGAGUCCGGAAGAGGCGAGUGGAAUUCCUGGUGUAGCGGUGGAAUGCGCAGAUAUCAGGAGGAACACCAACGGCGAAGGCAGCUCGCUGGGACGGUACUGACGCUAAGGCGCGAAAGCGUGGGGAGCGAACAGG